Molecule: ribosomal RNA, 424 nt
Filed under: uncultured bacterium
Lineage: Bacteria
Description: partial 16S ribosomal RNA
Rfam family: Bacterial small subunit ribosomal RNA
Source: RNAcentral
AAUUUUGGACAAUGGGGGAAACCCUGAUCCAGCCAUCCCGCGUGUAUGAUGAAGGCCUUCGGGUUGUAAAGUACUUUUGGCAGAGAAGAAAAGGUAUCCCCUAAUACGGGCUACUGCUGACGGUAUCUGCAGAAUAAGCACCGGCUAACUACGUGCCAGCAGCCGCGGUAAUAGGGAGGGUGCAAGCGUUAAUCGGAAUUACUGGUCGUAAAGCGUGUGGAGGCGGUACGAAAAGAAAGAUGGGAAAUCCCAGGGAGCAACCAUGGAACUGCAUUUUUAACUGCCGAGCUAGAGUAUGUCAGGGGGGGGUAGAAUUCCACGUGUAGCAGUGAAAUGCGUAGAUAUGUGGAGGAAUACCGAUGGCGAAGGCAGCCCCCUGGAAUAAUACUGACGCUAAGCCACGAAAGAGUGGGGAGAAAACAGG